This 3349-nucleotide long non-coding RNA is filed under the name Citrus x clementina. RNAcentral's name for it is "Citrus clementina (C. clementina) long non-coding RNA (CCLE_LNC006280)". Lineage: Eukaryota; Viridiplantae; Streptophyta; Magnoliopsida; Sapindales; Rutaceae. The record is from RNAcentral.
CGACCUUCGGGGGCUGAUUUUUGGGCGCGGCUCUGCCCGUGUUAUAUUUUUGGCACACGGAGGCCGCCGCAAAGUCUGGGGCCAUUCCGAGUUCGGCAGACGAACUUCGCCCACGCCCCCCACCAAGGCUAUAGCCCACCCGUUUUUUGGCCAUUUUUCCGCUGGGGGGUCUUGGCGCCCCCACCUUCGGGGGCUGAAUUUUGGGCGCGGCUGUGCCCGUGGCCUAUUUUUGGCACACGGAGGCCGCCCGCAAAGUCUGGGGCCAUUCCGAGUCCGGCGGACGAACUUCGCCCACGCCCCCCACCAAGGCUAUAGCCCACCCGUUUCUUGGCCAUUUUUCCGCUGGGGGGUCUUGGCACCCCGACCUUCGGGGGCUGAUUUUUGGGCGCGGCUCUGCCCGUGGCCUAUUUUUGGCACACGGAAGCCGCCCGCAAAGUCUGGGGCCAUUCCGAGUCCGGCGGACGAACUUCGCCCACGCCCCCCACCAAGGCUAUAGCCCACCCGUAUUUUGGCCAUUUUUCCGCUGGGGGGUCUUGGCACCCCGACCUUCGGGGGCUGAUUUUUGGGCGCGGCUCUGCCCGUGGCCUAUUUUUGGCACACGGAGGCCGCCCGCAAAGUCUGGGGCCAUUCCGAGUUCGGCGGACGAACUUCGCCCACGCCCCCCACCAAGGCUAUAGCCCACCCGUUUUUUGGCCAUUUUUCCGCUGGGGGGUCUUGGCGCCCUGACCUUCGGGGGCUGAUUUUUGGGCGCGGCUGUGCCCGUGGCCUAUUUUUGGCAUACGGAGGCCGCCCGCAAAGUCUGGGGCCAUUCCGAGUCCGGUGGACGAACUUCGCCCACGCCCCCCACCAAGGUAUAGCCCGCCCCCCCCUUUUUUUGGCCAUUUUUCCGCUGGGGGGGUCUUGCCGCCCCAACCUUCGGGGGCUGAUUUUGGGGCGCGGCUGUGCCCGUGGCCUAUUUUUGGUACCCGGAGGCCGCCCGCAAAGUCAGGGGCCAUUCCGAGUCCGGCGGACGAACUUCGCCCACGCCCCCCACCAAGGCUAUAGCCCACCCGUUUUUUGGCCAUUUUUCCGCUGGGGGGUCUUGGCGCCCCGACCUUCGGGGGCUGAUUUUUGGGCGCGGCUGUGCCCGUGGCCUAUUUUUGGCACACGGAGGCCGCCCGCAAAGUCUGGUGCCAUUCCGAGUCCGGCGGACGAACUUCGCCCACACCCCCCACCAAGGCUAUAGCCCACCCGUUUUUUGGCCAUUUUUCCGCUGGGGGGUCUUGGCACCCCGACCUUCGGGGGCUGAUUUUUGGGCGCGGCUCUGCCCGUGGCCUAUUUUUGGCACACGGAAGCCGCCCGCAAAGUCUGGGGCCAUUCCGAGUCCGGCGGACGAACUUCGCCCACGCCCCCCACCAAGGCUAUAGCCCACCCGUUUUUUGGCCAUUUUUCCGCUGGGGGGUCUUGGCGCCCCGACCUUCGGGGGCUGAUUUCUGGGCGCGGCUCUGCCCGUGGCCUAUUUUUGGCACACGGAAGCCGCCCGCAAAGUCUGGGGCCAUUCCGAGUCCGGCGGACGAACUUAGCCCACGCCCCCCACCAAGGCUAUAGCCCACCCGUUUUUUGGCCAUUUUUCCGCUGGGGGGUCUUGGCGCCCCGACCUUCGGGGGCUGAUUUUUGGGCGCGGCUCUGCCCGUGGCCUAUUUUUGGCACACGGAAGCCGCCCGCAAAGUCUGGAGCCAUUCCGAGUCCGGCGGACGAACUUCGCCCACGCCCCCCACCAAGGCUAUAGCCCACCCGUUUUUUGGCCAUUUUUCCGCUGGGGGGUGUUGGCACCCCGACCUUCGGGGGCUGAUUUUUGGGCGCGGCUGUGCCCGUGGCCUAUUUUUGGCACACGGAGGCCGCCCGCAACGUCUGGGGCCAUUCCGAGUCCGGCGGACGAACUUCGCCCACGCCCCCCACCAAGGCUAUAGCCCACCCGUUUUUUGGCCAUUUUUCCGCUGGGGGGUGUUGGCACCCCGACCUUCGGGGGCUGAUUUUUGGGCGCGGCUGUGUCCGUGGCCUAUUUUUGGCACACGGAGGCCGCCCGCAACGUCUGGGGCCAUUCCGAGUCCGGCGGACGAACUUCGCCCACGCCCCCCACCAAGGCUAUAGCCCACCCGUUUUUUGGCCAUUUUUCCGCUGGGGGGUCUUGGCACCCCGACCUUCGGGGGCUGAUUUUUGGGGGCGGCUCUGCCCGUGGCCUAUUUUUGGCACACGGAGGCCGCCCGCAAAGUCUGGGGCCAUUCCGAGUCCGGCGGACGAACUUCGCCCACGCCCCCCACCAAGGCUAUAGCCCGCCCACCCUUUUUUUGGCCAUUUUUCCGCUGGGGGGUCUUGGCGCCCCGACCUUCGGGGGCUGAUUUUUGGGCGCGGCUGUGCCCGUGGCCUAUUUUUGGCACACGGAGGCCGCCCGCAAAGUCUGGUGCCAUUCCGAGUCCGGCGGACGAACUUCGCCCACACCCCCCACCAAGGCUAUAGCCCACCCGUUUUUUGGCCAUUUUUCCGCUGGGGGGUCUUGGCACCCCGACCUUCGGGGGCUGAUUUUUGGGCGCGGCUCUGCCCGUGGCCUAUUUUUGGCACACGGAAGCCGCCCGCAAAGUCUGGGGCCAUUCCGAGUCCGGCGGACGAACUUCGCCCACGCCCCCCACCAAGGCUAUAGCCCACCCGUUUUUUGGCCAUUUUUCCGCUGGGGGGUCUUGGCGCCCCGUCCUUCGGGGGCUCAUUUUUGGCGCGGCUCUGCCCGUGGCCCAUUUUUGGCACACGGAAGCCGCCCGAAAGUCUGGGGCCAUUCCGAGUCCGGCGGACGAACUUAGCCCACGCCCCCCACCAAGGCUAUAGCCCACCCGUUUUUUGGCCAUUUUUCCGCUGGGGGGUCUUGGCGCCCCGACCCUCGGGGGCUGAUUUUUUGGGCGCGGCUCUGCCCGUGGCCUAUUUUUGGCACACGGAAGCCGCCCGCAAAGUCUGGGGCCAUUCCGAGUCCGGCGGACGAACUUCGCCCACGCCCCCCACCAAGGCUAUAGCCCACCCGUUUUUUGGCCAUUUUUCCGCUGGGGGGUGUUGGCACCCCGACCUUCGGGGGCUGAUUUUUGGGCGCGGCUGUGCCCGUGGCCUAUUUUUGGCACACGGAGGCCGCCCGCAAAGUCUGGGGCCAUUCCGAGUCCGGCGGACGAACUUCGCCCACGCCCCCCACCAAGGCUAUAGCCCGCCCACCCGUUUUUUGGCCAUUUUUCCGCUGGGGGGUCUUGGCGCCCCGACCUUCGGGGCCUGAUUUUUGGGCGCGGAUGUGCCCGUGGCCUGUUUUUGGCACACGGUGGCCGCCCGCAAAGUCUGG